Long non-coding RNA from Beta vulgaris subsp. vulgaris (sugar beet), 3936 nucleotides. RefSeq lists it as uncharacterized. The transcript has 2 exons. The record is from RefSeq and is a predicted model, not a curated record. NCBI's taxonomy places the organism in Eukaryota, Viridiplantae, Streptophyta, Magnoliopsida, Caryophyllales, Amaranthaceae.
ACAUUUUUUUUCCUAAUUUUAUCUCGAUUAGAAAUAGAUGGGCAAAACCCUAACCAUUGAGCAAUUUUGAAACAUCAGUAGCCAUUUUUUUGAAAAAAAAAAUAUCAGUAGCAAAACUCUGCCUUCCUCUGUAUAAGGUAAAUUGAGAUCUUGGCCUUCCUCGCCAUUAUACUCCUGGAACAACCCAGAAGUUUAUUGUUUCAUUCAUCCCCAUUUUCAGUUAUCUUCUUACACUUUGUUGUUUUACCUUCUUCCCCAAUUUCUUUCAAAAGUUACAGUUUUUAUUACAGUGUUUAUUCAUCUGGGUACAUUGUUGGAGUACUGUUUUUAAUGGGUUUUCACCAUUGAUAGAAGCUAAAAAAUUUACAGCAUUCAUAACUGGGUUCUUAGAGUCAAUUGGUGACUUUCAAUCUUUGGUUAAGUUUUGGACAUGCAUUUGGUGGUAAUGGACGGCGAUGAUUUUUUGGGAAGAAAAUAGAUGUUAUGGGAUGAAAUACAAUUGACAUGGAUUUUGACAUUGGGAUUCCUUUCGUUAUCAUUUCCACCAUUUAUGGCCGCUUACCAAAGAGCCAUUAGAGCUGUGUAGAUUUUUGGUCCAUGGUACUGUGGGGGCACAAUUUUGUGCACUAGCUUUAAAGAUGCUCAUACAGAAAUGCUGGUUUCUAUGGGCUUCUUAUGGAGUAUAACAUGAUGCUCAUAUAGGACUUACAUACUUUGAUGGAAAAAGGAUCAGUAGAAAUUGCUAUGGAAUGUUUGAUGCAAUGAAAUAGGUAGUGUUUUUUGUUUGAUGUGCAAUUGAGUUAAAGCACGCGAAGGGUGGUGCAUAAUCCUCUUGCGUAAGAGUCUGAGAGAAAGUGAAGGAAAUGCAAGAGAAUGCACGUAGAUGACUUUUAAAAUGAGCCAGAAUGUGAAUGUCUUAAUGGAUUGUUAGGGUCCUUCAGCGCAGAAACACAAAUGAUUAUAUGAUGCUUGCUUUUGGGACUUAUAAUGUAUUCUUCCUGCAAAACACAAAUGAUUAUAUGAUGCUUGCUUUUGGGACUUAUAAUGUAUUCUACUUGCAAAUAGCACCCAUGCACUAACCAUCAGCAAGAGGAAAACUAAUGAAUUCUUUGAUGAUGGAUUGACAUGAUGCUCUGUGAGUGUUCAAAUUGUAUUAAUGUUUCCUCACUUUCAAGAAGAAUUAGAUUAAUGGCUUUUUAACUGUCAAAAAUUUUAGGUUAAUGGCUUCCUCUAGUUUCAAGAUAGUUAUGUUGAGUAUCCUAACCUUUGUCCAUUCUGAUGGUAGUGUUUUUGUGCUCCUAUUACAGCUUGAUAAAGAGUAAUUUGUGGGUCUGUAAAUGGACACAUAAAUCACACUUACGGCCUACGAACAAGUUCUCUAUGAGUGUUGAUAAAUAUUAUAUGUGCUUGGUAUUUUUUUUCAAACUUGAACAAGCUCAUUAUAAGUAGAUACUUGAAUCCUGAAACAAAAUAACACCGUUGUCCAUCUCACAGCUGGGCAUUAAGUAUGUGCUUCUGCUGCAAAAAUGGACAGUCAAUAACGUGCAGGUGUUGAGAUGGGCAUUUUUGAGUUUAGGAUGCCCUUGUAUGGCCUGCAUACAGUCACAACUUGGAGACCGACCCCCGCCCCCAACUACAAAGGGAAGUCGUGAAAGUUUAGAGAUAGUUGUCCCCUCAUUUGUUUAUUCUUUUGCCACGAAUGUAUUAUGUACAAGAGCAUUUUCUGGCCAUUUUUGGUGCAGCAGCUGCAGCUCUCCCUUGUAGUCCAGCGAGCGCAGCCAGUAAUGUAAUGUUCACUACACCUUUAAGAUGAAGAACAUCUUUGAUAGCUGUUGAGAGGAGCUGAAUUGGGUGCAUGUUUGUUUGUCAUUUUUAGGCUUUCACAUUGUUUUACAUUAAUAUAUGAAUUAUAUACUUCAUGAUAGGUCAGAUUUUUUUUAUGAAACUUUUGUAUAAAGCUUGAUGGUUCUACCAAAACAAUAAUCUACAUAUAAGGAAAUAUUAUGUACGUACAAAGUAAAUGCUAAAUCUGAAACUUUACAUGUUUACAAUACGCUUUGCUGUUUCUCCUCGAAAUCUGACAAUUCUGCUUCUGCCAUUAGAUUUCUUAUCGAUCAAGUUGUAAGCAAAUUUUGUAAAUUGUCAUUUCUAGGAGCUCAGUUUCUGCACAUUCUUGUUGCUGGGAUGUGCUGACAGCUGAGGAUGAAAUGUUCAUUUUCGUCAUGAUUUUCUUGUCGAGAACAUCAGGAAUAACUUUUUUCUUUUUAUCCCACCUAAAGAUAAGAUAGAUAGGUUCUGUAUAUUUCUCUCUUUCUGUUGUAUCUUAGAAGAUAAAAGGUUGUCGUUUUCUUCUAUCUAUCUGUUUGCUUCCAUUUAUUAGUCUGAAUGUGUGGCUCCUCUUUACAAUGACUUCACAGAUUGUCUUGGUACCUUGCUGACUGCUGCCUUGUAGGAUCAUAUAUUCUGGUUACAUUCUUGUUUCUGCCUCUCUGGAUGGGUUUUUCUGCCCUGUAACACCUGUUGAUCACAAUUUUCAGGUGUUCAAAGUUGGAACAAAGCAAUCAAGAAACAAAGCAAUCAAGAAACAAAUGCUGGUGAGCUAUGUUCACCUGCUGAUCAUCUGUUUGUGUUGACGCUUCUCUUGAAUAUGUUUGCAAGUUUCAAGGAUAUUCAGCGUGCAUAUAGUUUGAAAAAUAUUUGAAAAAUAUGCCCGUGAAAGAUUUUGUUGCGUAGAACUCGGUGCCAUCCCUUUCAUAGCAAAAUGGAGCAAGCAGCAAAGCUCUUUGAAACCAUGCCUAACAAAGAUACUGGCAAGUAAGCUUGCUAGGCAUAUGGAUGAAGCAUGAAGAGUAGUCGAGGUAGCACCAAGCAAAUAUCGUUACAUGGAACACUAUGGUAAGUGGAUAUAUACUUUAUAAACUAUACAAUGAUGCAAAUUGGACUAAAUGAAAUGAUGGCUCAAAUUUUGAACCUGAUCAUUCAAGAAUAGCUGGUGUUUUAGCUGCCUGUGCUCAUCUAAGUUUCCUUGAAGAUGGGAUGACAAUACACAUCUAUGCCUUGGAGCAUCAUUUCGAGUCUUUAGAAGUUGUUACGCUAAAUAUUGGACCAUUACUCUUGUUUUGGAGGUCUUCUACAAGUCUCAAAAGAUAUUUUUUGUUGGAACUUGGAAUGCGACUAUCUCAGGACUUGCAAGCUAUCAAUGGUCAUGGCCUAGAAGCACUGAAACUCUUUGAUGCAAUGGAACACGAGGUCUGAAUGUCUGAUGCCAUAAUCUUCAUUGCAAUACUUGGGGUAUGUAGCCAUUCACCCUUGGUGACACAAGGGUGCUCAAUAUUUGCCGCAAUGAAUGACUUUGAUAUGCCAGUAAACUCGUAACACUAUGGUUGCAUGGUUGCUCUCUUGCGUCGUGCCAACUUGCUGAACACAGUAAUGCAGCUCGUUAAAUCAAUGCCAUUAGAGCCAGGAUAGAGGAUUUUAGGCACAUUGCUGAGUUCGUCCGUGAUUCAUCAAGAAUAAAGGUUGCAAGAGUAAGUAAUGGGGAGUUUAUAGCAAAUAGAGUAAUCUUUUCUUUUCUAGGAGUUCAUAUUCUUGCACUUUAGAUUCCAUUUCACGCAAUCUUGAAGGAAUGAAAAUCUGGUUUGAGUGAGAUAACAGAGUCGCUUUUACAAGUAAUCAAGCGAUGCGUGCGAAAACAAAUAUAAAACUCGAUUAUGUAAUAAUAUCUAUGUAUUUUUUUUCACAAAAUUCAUUGUGUUUUCUUCAUUUUUAAGAUCAAUAAAUUAGAGGUGGUAUAGAUGUUUUUGUUAAGUGAGGUAUAACGGCAAGAGAGGAGUGCAUUUGUACUUUAUUAGUUGAGGGUAUAAUGGGGUUUAUAAUUUUUGGUGUCCCCCUCUCUUCCCCUAUAUAAUAGAGAUCUUUACUUGGGAAUUUGCUACA